UUCUCCUAACAACCUCAAAAAUAUUUUUUUUUCAUUCAAAAUGUGAUUUCAAAUUUCGAAUCCCCAAUCAACUAGAAAAUAUAUCUCCUCUCAAUAACAUCAUUAAAAAUUUGAUUUUGAAUUUUGAAUCUCUAACCCACUUUCCAAAUAUCUCUCAACCCACUAAUACUUAUCCCUCAACUAACCACAUCCAACCCUACAAAUUUCUCGACGUUUUCUUAAAUCUCUCCCAUUUUAUUAUAAAUAGAGGACAAAAAAAGAUAAAAGAAGU
Molecule: long non-coding RNA, 271 nt
Filed under: Ananas comosus (pineapple)
Lineage: Eukaryota; Viridiplantae; Streptophyta; Magnoliopsida; Poales; Bromeliaceae
Description: long non-coding RNA (ACOM_LNC029547)
Source: RNAcentral